GAUGAAGAACGUAGCGAAAUGCGAUAAGUAGUGUGAAUUGCAGAAUUCAGUGAAUCAUCGAAUCUUUGAACGCACAUUGCGCCCCUUGGUAUUCCAUGGGGCAUGCCUGUUCGAGCGUCAUUUGUACCUUCAAGCUCUGCUUGGUGUGGGGUGUUUGUCUCGCCUCUGCGUGUAGACUCGCCUCAAAACAAUUGGCAGCCGGCGUAUUGAUUUCGGAGCGCAGUACAUCUCGCGCUUUGCACUCAUAACGACGACGUCCAAAAGUACAUUUUUACACUCUUGACCUCGGAUCAGGUAGGGAUACCCGCUGAACUUAAGCAUAUCAAUAAGCGGAGGA
This 337-nucleotide unclassified non-coding RNA is filed under the name soil metagenome. Its description in RNAcentral is "partial contains 5.8S ribosomal RNA, internal transcribed spacer 2, and large subunit ribosomal RNA". The stretch from base 1 to 120 matches the Rfam family "5.8S ribosomal RNA", at positions 35 to 154 of the family's 154-position model. The record is from RNAcentral.